Molecule: small RNA, 1423 nt
Filed under: Pan troglodytes (chimpanzee)
Lineage: Eukaryota; Metazoa; Chordata; Mammalia; Primates; Hominidae
Description: retained intron
Source: RNAcentral
AUCGCGUGGUGACUCCGGGCUUGAGGGUGAAUUAAGAAUAGGUGGUGAGUGGAACGUCUCUUGGGGUGUCGGAAUUCAAAACGGACCUGGAGGAUGUUGAUCUCCAAGAACAUGCCCUGGCGGCGGCUGCAGGGCAUUUCCUUCGGGAUGUAUUCGGCUGAAGAGCUCAAGAAAUUAAGUGUUAAAUCCAUUACGAACCCUCGGUACCUGGACAGCCUGGGGAACCCAUCGGCAAACGGCCUGUACGAUUUAGCUUUGGGCCCUGCAGAUUCCAAAGAGGUGUGCUCCACCUGCGUGCAGGACUUCAGCAACUGUUCUGGGCACCUGGGCCACAUUGAGCUCCCACUCACAGUGUAUAACCCUCUCCUCUUCGAUAAGCUGUACCUGCUGCUUCGGGGCUCUUGUUUAAACUGCCACAUGCUGACUUGUCCCCGGGCCGUGAUUCACCUCUUACUCUGCCAGCUGAGGGUUCUGGAAGUCGGGGCCCUACAAGCAGUCUACGAGCUUGAGAGAAUUCUGAACAGGUUUCUGGAAGAAAAUGCCGAUCCCUCUGCCUCUGAAAUUCGGGAGGAAUUAGAACAAUACACAACUGAAAUUGUGCAGAACAACCUCCUGGGGUCCCAGGGCGCACAUGUAAAGAACGUGUGUGAGAGCAGGAGCAAGCUCAUUGCUCUCUUCUGGAAGGCGCAUAUGAAUGCUAAGCGCUGUCCCCACUGCAAGACCGGGCGAUCCAUUGUCCGAAAGGAACACAACAGCAAGUUGACUAUCACGUUUCCAGCCAUGGUGCACAGGACAGCUGGCCAGAAGGACUCUGAGCCCCUGGGAAUUGAGGAAGCUCAGAUAGGAAAACGAGGAUACUUAACACCCACCAGUGCCCGCGAACACCUUUCUGCCCUGUGGAAGAAUGAAGGAUUCUUUCUGAACUACCUUUUUUCGGGAAUGGAUGAUGAUGGUAUGGAAUCCAGAUUCAAUCCCAGUGUGUUCUUUCUAGAUUUCUUGGUGGUGCCGCCCUCAAGGUAUCGCCCAGUCAGUCGCCUAGGAGACCAGAUGUUUACUAAUGGCCAGACGGUGAACUUGCAGGCUGUCAUGAAGGAUGUAGUUCUGAUUCAAAAACUUCUGGCAUUGAUGGCCCAAGAACAGAACCUGCCAGAGGAAGUGGCCACACCCACUACAGAUGAGGAAAAAGACUCUUUGAUUGCUAUUGACCGAUCCUUUUUGAGUACACUUCCAGGCCAGUCCCUCAUAGACAAACUUUACAACAUUUGGAUUCGCCUUCAGAGCCACGUCAAUAUUGUGUUUGAUAGCGAGAUGGACAAACUAAUGAUGGACAAGUACCCAGGCAUUAGGCAGGUGAGCAAAAAACUGGAUUCCCAUUGCUAGCUACAGAAGAUAAAUAAUAAACAUUGUGUAUUGAAACAAGAAA